CAGUGACGUGUGUUUUAAAUAAUACAAGCAAAUGCCAAGGUCAUGCAUAUAGUAACAACGCAGCAGGUCACACAGAUGGAUAUUCUGGGAAACAUCGAGAAAGUCUUGUGGGUCACAGGGGACAAAGUAUGAAAUGUGAGCAGCUACACUGAUAUUCAGAGAUUUCAGAGACUUUACAGAUUUCAGAGACUUCAAGAAGAGGGGAUAGCAACAGCAGACUGUUUCUCAAUGCCACAGCCAAGAAAAAACUCUCAGACAAACAAGCCCGUAACAACAACAAACUUCAGCUUGGAACACAUGAGUCUGAUCAAGUCUCUGUAACUUUAUAUUUUGCGAAUUCUGUUGCUUGGGUUAAGAAAGAUAAACUUUGAAGUCCAAAUUUA
Molecule: long non-coding RNA, 383 nt
Organism: Hemicordylus capensis (graceful crag lizard)
Lineage: Eukaryota; Metazoa; Chordata; Lepidosauria; Squamata; Cordylidae
Exons: 2
Source: RefSeq, a predicted model, not a curated record